This is a long non-coding RNA of Solanum stenotomum, 464 nucleotides long. RefSeq lists it as uncharacterized. NCBI's taxonomy places the organism in Eukaryota, Viridiplantae, Streptophyta, Magnoliopsida, Solanales, Solanaceae. The record is from RefSeq and is a predicted model, not a curated record. The transcript has 2 exons.
UCUAAAAAACACUAGACAUAGUUAAAGAGUACUCUGUACUCUCCUUCUUAUGUGAUGUUUCUUUUGAGCUGGAAUCGGCAUCUUCAAGCAAGCUCCAUCCUUGAUUGUUGUUAGAAUGUCUCUAUCUAUCGUCUUCCUUAGCCUCUGGUGGUGGAUUGAAAUUGAAGCUCACUGUUGACUCUGGACUGUGGUGGUGGGACGCAAGACCCCUCUUUCUGGUGAAGGUUUUGGUAGCUAUGGGAACUAGCUAGGUUAGGAUCUUGUCCUGAUAGAUCAAAGUGUUCUUUUUUUCUCUCGGCAUAUAACUAUUGGGGUCCCUUUUAUGAUUCUCUACAUAUGUAUCUUCUUCCUUCCCCUGCUUUUGCUUUUCUGUUUCAUUGGCUGUUUAUUCUUCGUGUCCUAAUCCUAAGGUUAGGAAUUUGAGCCUUGUCCAUGUUUAUGUGUUUCCUUAUAUGUGCUGGUAG